AAUCGGUAAGGAUAGACGUGAGGAAAGGUUGUGCGUUUCGUCUCAGAAGUCGUUGCCUAGACUCAUCCAGUGGGACUGAUGGCAGCAACCCCUUACCCUAGACGCUUG
Frieseomelitta varia is the source of this 108-nucleotide long non-coding RNA. RefSeq lists it as uncharacterized. The record is from RefSeq and is a predicted model, not a curated record. The transcript has 4 exons. NCBI's taxonomy places the organism in Eukaryota, Metazoa, Arthropoda, Insecta, Hymenoptera, Apidae.